UAAAUUUUUCAAAAGAUAAAAUGCUAUUUUGGUCAUUUUAGUUUUUGAGUGCUAUUUUUGUGAUAUAAACUUAGAAAGGUGCUAUUUUGGAGAUUUGCCCUUAUUAAUAAUAGACUUAACUUGUUUUUGAUUUUGUCUUUAAUAUCAGCCGGUUGAUGGUAAAAAAAAAACGAAUUCUUGUUCUAUUUUCUAUAAAAUCACAUACAAUAUACAACACUACGGUAAAGGCAAGACUUACAGAGGGACUUCUUUAUUGGGGUUGAUUUCAAGAAUCACUACAACUAAUGUUCAACGCUUAAAAUGAUUCAGAUGUGUUUGAAAAUUAAAUACAACAAACUUGACCAUUAUACAUAAUCUUUUUGUUUAAAGUUCUUAUAGUAUUAGAAAAUAUAAGCUAUAUUUAUAUAUUUGUGUUUAUAAUAAUAUUUCAAUUUUAAUAUUUACAUAUUUAAAAUAUUAAAAAAAACAGUUUACAAUAUUUUGUGAUUAUCGUAAAACGUCAACAGUCUUUUGGUAGUGCUAUGAAAUGGUUAUUACUUUUUAUAGACCAAAAUUCUGUACAGUUGAGUAAAAGUAAAACAUGGCAAUCAUUUUUUUAAUACUGCUCUUUUUGUUCUUAAAAUAGCUUCUCUACAAUCUUGUUGUGUCUGUGUAUGUAUGGGCAGAUCUUUUGCUACUUAUAAUAGUAAAUGAAACAUAAUAUAAAAGAAAGGCCUGUUAAGAUUAACAAUCAGAGAGAUCUUGAAAAGAAGAAAAAGCAAACACUGUCGGUGACUUUUUUCCCCAUUAUUAAAUAGAUCAUUGUACGGUUCUGUUUAUUUUAUUAAUAGGCUUUCCCGGAGAAGAAGGUUUCCAACUUUCAACGUUUAAAAAGUGUUGUCAUCAGCAUUCUAAUAUUAGUUCCUCUAAUUAAUGCCUUUUCUCCUUUUCUUCAAAUCAACAGAAACGCAGAAACUCCUCAUUUGCUGUCCAGAGACAAAGACAUAUGGUCACUACUCACGAGACUAUACUGUGUUAAAUCCCCAAUAAGUCUCUGUUAAGUUGUUUUUUUUUUUUUGUUAAAAGGCUUUCAUUGCAUAUAAUAAAUAAAAGAGAAAACAUACAAGCCUGCUUGAGGCAGUGUUUUAGAGCAAGACCCAGUACAGAAACCAUUCUAAAAGUCUCUGUUAAGUUGUUGACAUGUUGCUCUUGUAGUUUGUUGUGUUGUUACAAAUAGAGUAACUGAAACUGUUAUAUUUCAAAAGGAAAUCACGAGCCAUUGUUUUGAGUUUGAUUUAAGACUUGUAUUCUAUUUUAUACUAGUGGUUUUACCGCGCGGGGUGUUUGCCAUUUGUGUUAUCAAACAAUGAUCAUAUGUCAUUAGACAUGUUCAAGCAAUACAAUUGUUUAAUUUGAACAUCUACGAUUGUAUUUUUUAACUGUAUCUACUGUUGUAGUUGCUUAUUUUGUCAACGUUCUUUCUUUUAUUUAGUUGUCAUCGGUCAUAAUGUUAAAAAUGUAUGAUCCCACAUACUGUUCUUUCUGAAGCAGUACUUAAAGGUUGCAUUCUUGUGUGCUAUUAAAGGAAUGCUCAUGCGCAGCUUCUGGAGGCGUUCUGCUGGUGGUUUUGAAUACCUUUUGUAGAACAGCAAAGGUCCUCAUACUAAGCAAGCCUUCAGUAGUAACGAUUUGGUGUGUGUACGAUGUAUAAGGCUAGUGGUACUGUUUGAAUGUUUCAGCAAGAAGGGAAAUUUGAAAUAGGCUAUAGGUGAACCUCAUAUGUUCAAAUAUUGAUGAAUGUUUUUUAAGACAAUAAAAAUAUAGACAAUGAGAGGUAACAUGAUCUUUAUACACAAAUGGCUGAGAAUAUUAUCGAGAAAGUUUAAAUGAAAUAAUCAGGAUGAUGGUGAGAAUUAGAGCAAUGAUCACUGAAGUAACGAUCCAUUUGUUCUCAUCAUUCUUCUUGACGUAGCGGUCAAGACCGUUUGGACAAAGUGUUCUCGUCUUUAUGGUGGCUUCAGCAGUGGAAGUUAGAGUUUCAAGGGUACUUUCGGUUAUUUGAGGUUCAUUGUUAUUGGGUUUGUUUUUUUUUUGUCAAUAUUGGGUUUGUUUAUUUCCAAAAAAAAAAGACAAACUGAUAUAGAUUAUAAUAUUUGUAUUAUAUUAUGUAUUUUAAUCAAAUAUUAUUUGUUGACAAAAAAAAUAGAUGUUCAACUUCUGGUUGGAUUGAAACUGAAAUAUAGAUUAGAAAAGAUGGAUUGUUAAAAAAAAUUAACAGGUUUGAUAAAAAGAAGAAGUUGAAAAUUUAAGCACUAUAUAAAAUCUUCUAAAAUGAUGACAAGGUGUCAAAUUUAUAGAGUAUUUAAUAAUGAAAUCUU
Molecule: long non-coding RNA, 2357 nt
Organism: Brassica rapa (field mustard)
Lineage: Eukaryota; Viridiplantae; Streptophyta; Magnoliopsida; Brassicales; Brassicaceae
Source: RefSeq, a predicted model, not a curated record